ACUCAAAUGAAUAGACGGGUCCCCGCACAAGCAGCGGAGCGUGUGGUUUAAUUCGAUGCAACGCGAAGAACCUUACCUGGGCUUGACAUCUAUUCGCAACUGUGUGAAAGCACAGCCUCCGCAAGGACGGAUAGACAGAUGUUGCAUGGCUGUCGUCAGCUCGUGUCGUGAGAUGUUGGGUUAAGUCCCUCAACGAGCGCAACCCCUAUUUCUAGUUGGACAAUCUAGAGAGACUGCCGGAAACAAACCGGAGGAAGGCGGGGAUGAUGUCAAGUCAGCAUGACUCUUACGUCCAGGGCUACACACACGCUACAAUGGAGGGUACAACGAGAAGCCACCCCGCAAGGGGGAGCAGACCUCUAAAAGCUCUCCUCAGUUCAGAUUGCACUCUGCAACCCGAGUGCAUGAAGUCGGAGUUGCUAGUAACCGCGUGACAGCAUAGCGCGGUGAAUAUGUUCCCGGGGAUUGCACACACCGCCCGU
This 482-nucleotide ribosomal RNA is filed under the name uncultured bacterium. RNAcentral describes it as "partial 16S ribosomal RNA". It matches the Rfam family "Bacterial small subunit ribosomal RNA", at positions 899 to 1397 of the family's 1533-position model. The record is from RNAcentral.